This is a long non-coding RNA of Anguilla rostrata (American eel), 937 nucleotides long. RefSeq lists it as uncharacterized. The record is from RefSeq and is a predicted model, not a curated record. Lineage: Eukaryota; Metazoa; Chordata; Actinopteri; Anguilliformes; Anguillidae. The transcript is spliced from 3 exons.
AGUCGAGAGGGUACAGCCUGAAACCUCUCUGCACCAUCUGAGCGCUUUCAACCGAAUCACUGAAAAUCAUGAAUAUUCCGGAAAAAAUGCGAGAUGUAAGUGUUAAAACUGUUAUGAGUUGGAGUCGCAGUAAGUUAUAUCUCUAGUGUUUAACUGAUAGGCUAAGGGGCGGUGUUUGUUUUAUGAGUAAUCCCAUGUCAUAUACGAAUCUCUCUCUCUCGCUCUCCAUCUCUCUCUGUUUAUUGAGUUAUUGUCUUAACACGCUUCUAAAAGAACAUGUCUGUCUGUCCAGUCUUUUAACGAAGCGAACAACGGAAUAUUUACUCAAAAGAAUGGUUAUCUCCGUGAUGUCACGUUCCACGGGCGUAGCAAAAUGUCCCCUCGAAGGCUUGUACCUUUUUGGAUUUUCCGAUUGGAACUAGAGAAAUAUUGGGCGGGGAAUGAGCCCCAUAUUCAUAUAUAUAUUUGGAUAUAGGCUAGUCUGCUGCAUAAUUUGGUGAAACAAGACUCCAACGCGUUGAAGGUCAUUUAGUCUAUCGUUAGUAAAGCGUAUGCUAAAUUGAUGUAAAAGUAUUUUUACUUAAAAGAUUACUGACAAUUUAACAACAAGUAGCCUGCGCGCGGAUUCUCCGUAGAUAUACUUAAUUUCAUUUCUAAUGUAGGUAGCCGAAAUGUUGUGGACUUUGAUGUUCUGCGUGUGCUCUUUAUGGAUAACGUCUGUGCAGUCUAUUGUAGACAUGCGAGAUACGACGAAAAAUCCCAAUGCUGAUUUGCCACUCAAAGAUAAACCGAUGGAGACAGGAGUCCGUAACCAGGGGAAACGCAAAACGCUGUUUGCCAGGAGAACGCUCCACGAGGGGCAGAGUCCGCGCGCGGUGAAGCUGAAGGUCAGGCUGCGCCCUCCAGGGCGACGCUGCUACCGUAUGAUGGAGAGCUG